This 340-nucleotide unclassified non-coding RNA is filed under the name soil metagenome. RNAcentral's name for it is "partial contains 5.8S ribosomal RNA, internal transcribed spacer 2, and large subunit ribosomal RNA". The stretch from base 1 to 120 matches the Rfam family "5.8S ribosomal RNA", at positions 35 to 154 of the family's 154-position model. The record is from RNAcentral.
GAUGAAGAACGCAGCGAAAUGCGAUAAGUAGUGUGAAUUGCAGAAUUUAGUGAAUCAUCGAAUCUUUGAACGCACAUUGCGCCCUUUGGUAUUCCUUAGGGCAUGCCUGUUCGAGCGUCAUCUACACCCUCAAGCACAGCUUGGUGAUGGGCGCCUGUCCCGCCCCCCACGGGGGCGCGGACUCGCCUCAAAUGCAUUGGCGGCCGGCGACCUGGCUUCGAGCGCAGCAGAAACGCGUACUCGGGGACCGGGCGCCCGCUCCCAGAAGCCAACCCACCCAGUUUGACCUCGGAUCAGGUAGGGAUACCCGCUGAACUUAAGCAUAUCCAUAAGCGGAGGA